CUGGUUGAUCCUGCCAGUAGUCAUAUGCUUGUCUUCAAAGACAUAAGCCAUGCAUGUCUAAGUAUAAGUAUUAUACAGCGAAACUGCGAAUGGCUCAUUAAAACAGUUAUAGUUUAUUCGAUUAUUUUCUCCUACAUGGAUAACCGUAGUAAUUCUAGAGCUAAUACAUGCUGUCAAACCUGACUUUUGUGGAAGGGUUGUAUUUAUUAGAUAUAAAACCAAUACCCCGCAAGGGGUUUUGUGAUGAUUCAUAAUAACUGAACGGACCGCGGCUGUGCUGCGGCGAAUCGUUCAAGUUUCUGCCCUAUCAGCUUUCGAUGGUAGUGUAUUGGACUACCAUGGCGAUCACGGGUAACGGGGAAUUAGGGUUCGAUUCCGGAGAGGGAGCCUGAGAAAUGGCUACCACAUCUAAGGAAGGCAGCAGGCGCGUAAAUUACCCAAUCCUAAUUCAGGGAGGUAGUGACAAGAAAUAACAACUCGGACCUCACACGAGGUUACGAGAUUGCAAUGAGAACAAUUUAAACCUCUUAUCGAGUAACAAUUGGAGGACAAGUCUGGUGCCA
RNAcentral lists this ribosomal RNA (563 nucleotides) under uncultured eukaryote. RNAcentral's name for it is "SSU rRNA". It matches the Rfam family "Eukaryotic small subunit ribosomal RNA", at positions 4 to 569 of the family's 1831-position model. The record is from RNAcentral.